AUCCCCAGAUGGAGAGAGAGAAACAGGCAGUGGGUGAGACCAGAGCUCCCACCUGAACACAGUCCCCAGCACAGCAUUUUUGACUGCACCCCGAGUCCCACCAGGGCCCCUGUACCACUUCUACAGCCCACAGGAUCAGGCCCACUCAUCUCUACUAGGCAAAGAUUCCAGGGCAGGCCCAGCUGGAAGGAGGCGGCACCCCCAGCCCAGUGUAAUCAAGUCAACAGCCAGACCAAAACCUGUGAUCAGCCAACAAAGUGCGCACUCAAAAGUUCUGGGCCACCAAACCAUACUGAGCCUGAACAGGGGCAGGGAGAAUGUCUGAGAGGAUAUGGCCAUUGAAGACGGGGAAGAAAGAACAAAGGCUGCAUCUUCUGGAAGAGACCACAACCAGGGCAAGCACUCCAGGGAGCCUACGAGGGGGCUCUGCGGGGAUGAGCCCAUGGGAGGCUGGGGUGUAGGAGUGCUCAGAACAACAACUCUGGGACACAAGAAGCUACAGGCACCAACAGUGAGGUCUCAGAAGGGUCCCAGCUGGUGGCCUCCAAAUUCUCCAUACUGCAGAACCCCAAUCUGCUCAAAAUCCUUGAAUGGUUUCUGAUUGCUCUUAAGCUGAAGACCAACAUUCUCUCCCUUCCCCUAGGUCUAAAAUAAACACAUACUCCCCACCUCUGGGGCACCAAGAGUUGCAGCCACACCAGGCUGGUCUGUUGCCUCACAUGCACUGCACUCCCUCUUGCCACAGGGCCCUUGCUCCUGCUGCCUGCACUGCCCUCCCCCUCGCCCCCCUCAGUGAUCAACUCCCACUCAUCCUGCAGAUUUCAGCUUGGAUGUCACCUCCCGAGGGACGCUGUGCCUGCCUCCCUCGUCAGAGCAGGUGUUGUCAUCUACUCACAGAAUUUGGCUUCCUUCCACAAAGCAACCCCGUGACCAUCUGUUUAACAUUGUCUCUCCACCUAGACUGUAAGGUCCGUGAAAGCAGGGACCACACCCAUUUGUGCUCACUUGGGACCUACAGCCUCUAAUCCAGAGCCUGACACAAA
RNAcentral lists this long non-coding RNA (1043 nucleotides) under Homo sapiens (human). RNAcentral describes it as "HSALNT0171723". Lineage: Eukaryota; Metazoa; Chordata; Mammalia; Primates; Hominidae. The record is from RNAcentral.